AGAGUUUGAUCCUGGCUCAGAUUGAACGCUGGCGGCAUGCCUUACACAUGCAAGUCGAACGGCAGCGCGGGCGGGGGUAACCUCGCCUGGCGGCGAGUGGCGGACGGGUGAGUAAUAUAUCGGAACGUACCCUGGAGUGGGGGAUAACGUAGCGAAAGUUACGCUAAUACCGCAUACGAUCCAAGGAUGAAAGCAGGGGACCGCAAGGCCUUGUGCUCCUGGAGCGGCCGAUAUCUGAUUAGCUAGUUGGCGGGGUAAAAGCCCACCAAGGCAACGAUCAGUAGCUGGUCUGAGAGGACGACCAGCCACACUGGAACUGAGACACGGUCCAGACUCCUACGGGAGGCAGCAGUGGGGAAUUUUGGACAAUGGGCGCAAGCCUGAUCCAGCAAUGCCGCGUGAGUGAAGAAGGCCUUCGGG
Molecule: ribosomal RNA, 420 nt
Filed under: uncultured bacterium
Lineage: Bacteria
Description: bacterial SSU rRNA
Rfam family: Bacterial small subunit ribosomal RNA
Source: RNAcentral